RNAcentral lists this long non-coding RNA (460 nucleotides) under Oryctolagus cuniculus (rabbit). Its description in RNAcentral is "lncRNA (ENSOCUG00000036538.1)". The record is from RNAcentral. Lineage: Eukaryota; Metazoa; Chordata; Mammalia; Lagomorpha; Leporidae.
GUCUGGUUCCUGAAGCCUGGGAGGUGUCACGUGCAGGGUGACCAGCUAGUGGGAGCCAGGAAAGACAGAGCUGGCCGCCCGGUGACCCUGCCAGGAGACCUCGUGGGGUCUUCCCAGGAAGGGUAGGGGGCUCUCUCUCCAGCAGGAAGGUCCUGCAGGCCGGCCAGCCUGCACCCCAACCCCUCCCCCACCCCAGUCCAGCACCCAGCCCCUCACCUGGCCACUCCCUGAAGUUUGUUGCAAAUUCUCAGAGUCAGGAGGGAGCUGGGCCAGCGGCUGUCUGUCGGCACAGCAGUGACUCAGACAAGACAGCCUGGGGCCCCGGCGGCGCUCCUGGUGUGCAGGCCCCCGCGGCGGCUCUGGUCUCACUCCAGCCCACGCUGGAAAACAGCCUUGCUCCCACUCGUCUGGCCCAGCUCGCCCUGCCAGACUGGAUUGGAUCCCGGCCUGUGCCACUGUC